This 877-nucleotide non-coding RNA is filed under the name Ancylostoma ceylanicum. Its description in RNAcentral is "Eukaryotic large subunit ribosomal RNA". It matches the Rfam family "Eukaryotic large subunit ribosomal RNA", at positions 1889 to 2798 of the family's 3401-position model. The record is from Rfam by way of RNAcentral. Lineage: Eukaryota; Metazoa; Nematoda; Chromadorea; Rhabditida; Ancylostomatidae.
GAUAGAAUAAUGUAGAUGAAGGAAGUCGCCAAAUUGGGUCCGUAACUUCGGGAAAAGGGAACGUUUUCAGAUGUGUGCUCUGUCUUCGGGCUCAGUAUCCUGACCGACAAUCAAAACGGUUGAAAUGGAACUGGUACGGACUCGGGGAAUCCGACUGUCUAAUUAAAACAGAGGAGACAGAUGGUCCUUGCAGACGUUUACUGCCUCUGAUUUCUGCCCAGUGCUCUAAAUGUUAAAUCGUAGUAAUUCGAGUAAGCGCGGAUGAACGGCGGGAGUAACUAUGACUCUCUUAAGGUAGCCAAAUGCCUCGUCAGCUAACUACUGACGCGCGUGAUUGGAUUAACGAGAUUCCCACUGGGUCUAACUACUAUCUAGCGAAACAACAGCCAAGUGAACGGGCUUGGCAAAGAUAGCGGGAAAGAAGACCCUGUUGAGCUCGACUCUAGUUUGACAUUGUGAAGAGAGGUGUAGCAUAGGUGGGAGACUUCGGUCGCCAAUGAAAUACCACCACUCUCAUCGAUUCUUUACUUAUUCGGUGAGAGGAAAAUUGAGCUUCUGCUCCUUUUUCUUCGUCUUAAGCAAAGCCACCUGGUGGCCUCGCGACUCUCGCAGACAGUGACAGGCGGGAAGUUUGGCUGGGGCGGUACAUCUGUCAAAUCGUAACCUAGGUGUCCUAAGGCUAGCUCAGAGAGGACGGAAACCUCUCGCAGAGCAAAAAAGGCAAAAAAGCAAAAGCUCGCUUGAAACCAAGCAUAACAGAAACAAAUGACAACGUAUUCCUGAUCCGGUAGAUUUUUUCGUAUUGCCGAAUAGGCUUCAUAGUUUCUAUGGAGGUCAUGUCAUUGUGUCAAUUCAUCUUUUUUGGCAAUAUCAUAGU